This 460-nucleotide ribosomal RNA is filed under the name uncultured bacterium. RNAcentral's name for it is "partial 16S ribosomal RNA". It matches the Rfam family "Bacterial small subunit ribosomal RNA", at positions 338 to 795 of the family's 1533-position model. The record is from RNAcentral.
CCUACGGGUGGCAGCAGUGAGGAAUAUUGGUCAAUGGGCGUAAGCCUGACCCAGCCAAGUCGCGUGAGGGAUGAAGGUUCUAUGGAUCGUAAACCUCUUUUAUAAGGGAAUAAAGUGUGGGACGUGUCCUAUUUUGUAUGUACCUUAUGAAUAAGGAUCGGCUAACUCCGUGCCAGCAGCCGCGGUAAUACGGAGGAUCCGAGCGUUAUGCGGAUUUAUUGGGUUUAAAGGGUGCGUAGGCGGCCUUUUAAGUCAGCGGUGAAAGUCUGUGGCUCAACCAUAGAAUUGCCGUUGAAACUGGCGGGCUUGAGUAUGUUCGAGGAAGGCGGAAUGCGUGGUGUAGGGGUGAAAUGCGUAGAUAUCACGCAGAACCCCGAUUGCGAAGGCGGCCUGCUAAGCCAUGACUGACGCUGAUGAACGAAAGCGUGGGGAUCAAACAGGAUUAGAUACCCUGGUAGUC